Unclassified non-coding RNA from Pongo abelii (Sumatran orangutan), 148 nucleotides. It matches the Rfam family "Metazoan signal recognition particle RNA". Rfam says of the family: The signal recognition particle (SRP) is a universally conserved ribonucleoprotein. It is involved in the co-translational targeting of proteins to membranes. NCBI's taxonomy places the organism in Eukaryota, Metazoa, Chordata, Mammalia, Primates, Hominidae. The record is from Ensembl.
GCUGGGGAUGGUGGCGCAUGCCUAUAGUCCCAGGUACUUGGGAAGCUGAGAUGGGAGGAUUGCUUGAGCCUGGGAGUUCGGGGCUGCAGUGAGCCGUGAUUAUGCCACUGCACUCCAGCCUGGGUGACAGAGUGAGACCCUGUCUCAA